RNAcentral lists this small RNA (94 nucleotides) under Arabidopsis thaliana (thale cress). RNAcentral describes it as "ATSL272680". Lineage: Eukaryota; Viridiplantae; Streptophyta; Magnoliopsida; Brassicales; Brassicaceae. The record is from RNAcentral.
AUGGUUACUGGAAAACACGGAUGAUACAGCUAAUCAGAGGACAAGGAGAAGAUGCAUGGACUGCUGUAGAAGAUGGCUGGGAACCUCCUUUCAG